This 1385-nucleotide ribosomal RNA is filed under the name metagenome. RNAcentral describes it as "bacterial SSU rRNA". It matches the Rfam family "Bacterial small subunit ribosomal RNA". The record is from RNAcentral.
AGAGUUUGAUCCUGGCUCAGGAUGAACGCUGGCGGCGUGCUUAACACAUGCAAGUCGAACGAACCUUCGGGUUAGUGGCGGACGGGUGAGUAACGCGUGGGAAUCUGCCCUCAGGAGGGGGAUAACGGCUGGAAACGGCCGCUAAUACCCCAUAUGCCGAGAGGUGAAAAGAAAUUCGCCUGAGGAUGAGCCCGCGUCUGAUUAGCUAGUUGGUGGGGUAAGAGCUCACCAAGGCCACGAUCAGUAGCUGGUCUGAGAGGAUGAUCAGCCACACUGUGACUGAGACACGGCCCAGACUCCUACGGGAGGCAGCAGUGGGGAAUUUUCCGCAAUGGGCGAAAGCCUGACGGAGCAACGCCGCGUGAGGGAUGAAGGCCUCUGGGCUGUAAACCUCUUUUCUCAAGGAAGAAGACAUGACGGUACUUGAGGAAUAAGCCACGGCUAAUUCCGUGCCAGCAGCCGCGGUAAUACGGGAGUGGCAAGCGUUAUCCGGAAUUAUUGGGCGUAAAGCGUCCGCAGGCGGCCCUGUAAGUCUGUCGUUAAAGCGUGGAGCUUAACUCCAUUUAAGCGAUGGAAACUACAGGGCUUGAGUGUGGUAGGGGCAGAGGGAAUUCCCGGUGUAGCGGUGAAAUGCGUAGAUAUCGGGAAGAACACCAGUGGCGAAGGCGCUCUGCUGGGCCAUAACUGACGCUCAUGGACGAAAGCCAGGGGAGCGAAAGGGAUUAGAUACCCCUGUAGUCCUGGCCGUAAACGAUGAACACUAGGUGUCGGGGGGAUCGACCCCCUCGGUGUCGUAGCCAACGCGUUAAGUGUUCCGCCUGGGGAGUACGCACGCAAGUGUGAAACUCAAAGGAAUUGACGGGGGCCCGCACAAGCGGUGGAGUAUGUGGUUUAAUUCGAUGCAACGCGAAGAACCUUACCAGGGUUUGACAUCCUGCGAAUCCCUUGGAAACGAGGGAGUGCCUUCGGGAGCGCAGAGACAGGUGGUGCAUGGCUGUCGUCAGCUCGUGUCGUGAGAUGUUGGGUUAAGUCCCGCAACGAGCGCAACCCACGUCUUUAGUUGCCAGCAUUCAGUUGGGCACUCUAGAGAGACCGCCGGUGAUAAACCGGAGGAAGGUGUGGAUGACGUCAAGUCAUCAUGCCCCUUACAUCCUGGGCUACACACGUACUACAAUGCUACGGACAAAGGGCAGCAAGCUCGCGAGAGUUAGCAAAUCCCAUAAACCGUGGCUCAGUUCAGAUCGUAGGCUGCAACUCGCCUACGUGAAGGAGGAAUCGCUAGUAAUCGCAGGUCAGCAUACUGCGGUGAGUACGUUCCCGGGCCUUGUACACACCGCCCGUCACACCAUGGAAGUUGGCCAUGCCCGAAGUCGUUGCUCCAACCC